ACGAAGGGGGCGAGCGUUGUUCGGAAUUACUGGGCGUAAAGGGCGCGUAGGCGGUCAGCACAAGUCAGUUGUGAAAUCUCCGGGCUUAACUCGGAACGGUCAGCUGAUACUGCUUUGCUAGAGUGCAGAAGGGGCAAUCGGAAUUCUCGGUGUAGCGGUGAAAUGCGUAGAUAUCGAGAGGAACACCUGAGGUGAAGACGGGUUGCUGGGCUGACACUGACGCUGAUGCGCGAAAGCCAGGGUAGCAAACGGGA
RNAcentral lists this ribosomal RNA (254 nucleotides) under uncultured prokaryote. RNAcentral describes it as "partial 16S ribosomal RNA". It matches the Rfam family "Bacterial small subunit ribosomal RNA", at positions 525 to 777 of the family's 1533-position model. The record is from RNAcentral.